UACGUAGGGGGCAAGCGUUGUCCGGAAUCAUUGGGCGUAAAGAGCGUGUAGGCGGCCUGAUAAGUCGGCUGUGAAAGUCAAGGGCUCAACCCUUGAAUGCCGGCCGAUACUGUCGGGCUAGAACCCGGAAGAGGCGAGUGGAAUUCCUGGUGUAGCGGUGAAAUGCGCAGAUAUCAGGAGGAACACCUAUGGCGAAGGCAGCUCGCUGGGACGGUAUUGACGCUGAGACGCGAAAGCGUGGGGAGCGAACAGG
Molecule: ribosomal RNA, 253 nt
Filed under: uncultured bacterium
Lineage: Bacteria
Description: partial 16S ribosomal RNA
Rfam family: Bacterial small subunit ribosomal RNA
Source: RNAcentral